This 260-nucleotide ribosomal RNA is filed under the name uncultured prokaryote. RNAcentral's name for it is "partial 16S ribosomal RNA". It matches the Rfam family "Bacterial small subunit ribosomal RNA", at positions 524 to 782 of the family's 1533-position model. The record is from RNAcentral.
UACGUAGGGUGCGAGCGUUGUCCGGAAUUACUGGGCGUAAAGAGCUCGUAGGUGGUUUGUCACGUCGUCUGUGAAAUUCCGGGGCUUAACCUCGGGCGUGCAGGCGAUAUGGGCAAUACUUGAGUGCUGUAGGGGAGACUGGAAUUCCUGGUGUAGCGGUGAAAUGCGCAGAUAUCAGGAGGAACACCAAUGGCGAAGGCAGGUCUCUGGGCAGUUACUGACGCUGAGGAGCGAAAGCAUGGGUAGCGAACAGGAUUAGA